Pan troglodytes (chimpanzee) is the source of this 955-nucleotide long non-coding RNA. RefSeq lists it as uncharacterized. The transcript is spliced from 3 exons. Lineage: Eukaryota; Metazoa; Chordata; Mammalia; Primates; Hominidae. The record is from RefSeq and is a predicted model, not a curated record.
CCAAAGGUUGGCUGCAGAAUGUUAAGGUCCCAACAGGACAACAGGGGCAGGUGUCGGCACAGGAGGGCGAAUGACGGGCAGCAAGGCCUCAGAACUGGGACUCCAGUUUCUCUCCCGGGGAAGAAAAGGAGGCGGCACCGAUCCGGACAGAUGAGGGCCAGGCAGCAGCAUCCUGGCAUUACCGCAGCAGGAGGGAGGAGCCAACGGUGCCACGUGGUUCCCAAAUGCCAAGCGCAGCCUGAGAGAGGAGGAAACAGGAGAGAAGGGGAGGCCGGGGGGCCGCUUGGUGCCCAAGAUUUCUCAGAUGUCCCAGAGCCCUGACUCUGCUGCCAGCUUGCUUUACAGUGAGGCCAAGGAAGAAGCCACGGAGCGGGUGCCGGCCCUAGGAGCAGGAUUCCUGUGUGUUCACUAAGCUUGCAGCAUCAAGAAGCCACCAGCCAGCAUGGACAUGUGAGCGUCAGCGGGAGGGAAAACAAAACACUCAUGGGAAGAAGCGGGACCAGGCUCCAGUCGCAAAGUUGCCCUUCAUGCUUCACGCAAGAAAAAGGCCUCGGAGGGAGCUGUGAGGACAUGAUCAAAUCACUGUGCCAGCUGAAGUCACCAGGGGGCCACCACUCCAAGGAACCCUGAAGAUGGUGGACAGGAAUUAGGAAGUGUUGAACCGUCUUAGAUGGAAUGCUGUUCAUAUGAAAGCAAGACGCUCUAUCCUAGAAUUGCUUUUAUCAUUUGGUUCUAUUGCCACUUUUCGAAAAUUCUGUGACGUGAAGCAUGCAGAAAUAAAAAGAAGUAACACAGAAAUUCUCAGGUCCAUCAGCCAAGGGGGCCUUGCUGACUGCAGGCGGAGGUCUCAGGCCCGCCCAGCCCUGGCGUCUCCACAGGGCUCUGACCCCGAGCCAGCUCCACAGCCCCCUCUAUUCUCCCCCGGCGCUCACGAUUCAACAACACGGACUUCGUA